This 874-nucleotide ribosomal RNA is filed under the name uncultured organism. RNAcentral describes it as "bacterial SSU rRNA". It matches the Rfam family "Bacterial small subunit ribosomal RNA", at positions 1 to 882 of the family's 1533-position model. The record is from RNAcentral.
UUAGAGUUGAAUCCUGGCUCCCGAUGAACUCUAGCGGCAGGCCUAACACAUGCAAGCCGAGGGGUAAGUCUCUUUCGGGAGAACACGACCGGCGCACGGGUGAGUAACGCGUAUGCAACCUACCUUUGGCACGGGGACAGCCCGGGGAAACCCGGAUUAAUACCCGGUAUAGUCUAUUAUACACCUGUAUAAAAGACGAGAGCUACGGCGGCCAAAGAUGGGCAUGCGUGCCAUUAGUUAGUUGGUAGGGUAACGGCCUACCAAGGCAUCGAUGGCUACGGGGUCUAAAAGGAUGAGCCCGCACACUGGUACUGAGACACGGACCAGACUCCUACGGGAGGCAGCAGUGAGGAAUAUUGGUCAAUGGGUGGAAGCCUGAACCAGCCAUGCCGCGUGCAGGAAGACGGCCUUAUGGGUUGUAAACUGCUUUUCUACGGGACGUACGGCUCUGACGUGUCAGAGAUUGACGGUACCGUAGGAAUAAGCAUCGGCUAACUCCGUGCCAGCAGCCGCGGUAAUACGGAGGAUGCGAGCGUUAUCCGGAUUUAUUAGGUUUAAAGGGUGCGUAGGCUGGGCAAUAAGUCAGUGGUGAAAGUCCGCGGCUCAACCGUGGGAUUGCCAUUGAAACUGUUGUUCUUGAGUACAGUCGAGGUAGGCGGAAUGUGUAAUGUAGCGGUGAAAUGCAUAGAUAUUACCCAGAACACCGAUUGCGUAGGCAGCUUACCAGCCUGGAACUGACGCUGAUGCACGAAAGCGUGGGGAGCGAACAGGAUUAGAUACCCUGGUAGUCCACGCCGUAAACGAUGAUCACUCGCUGUUGGCAAUAUAGAGUCAGCGGUUGAGCGAAAGCAUUUAGUGAUCCACCUGGGGAGUA